AUCCCACUCCUGACACCA
This 18-nucleotide non-coding RNA is filed under the name Gallus gallus (chicken). Lineage: Eukaryota; Metazoa; Chordata; Aves; Galliformes; Phasianidae. The record is from RNAcentral. RNAcentral also lists the same sequence under 1 other name.